This 352-nucleotide ribosomal RNA is filed under the name Dysidea cf. herbacea 1B-gray-Anae Island. Its description in RNAcentral is "eukaryotic LSU rRNA". It matches the Rfam family "Eukaryotic large subunit ribosomal RNA", at positions 1 to 345 of the family's 3401-position model. The record is from RNAcentral. Lineage: Eukaryota; Metazoa; Porifera; Demospongiae; Dictyoceratida; Dysideidae.
CUGGACCUCGGAUCAGGCCAGGCUACCCGCUGAAUUUAAGCAUAUCAAUAAGCGGAGGAAAAGAAACUAACUAGUAUUCCCCUAGUAACGGCGAGCGAAGCGGGAACAGCUCAAAUUUGAAAUCUCCGGUGCCUGCACCGGCGAAUUGUAGUCUAUAGGGCCAGUUUCGCCAGACGCGGUGUCCCCAAAGUCGUCCUGGAAAGGCGGGCCAGAGAGGGUGAGAGCCCCGUGUGCGGGGGCACUGCGGAAGGUAAGAUCUGUGCCCAAAGAGUCGGGUUGUUUGGGAUUGCAGCCCAAAAUGGGUGGUAAACUCCAUCUAAAGCUAAAUACUGGCACGAGACCGAUAGCGAAC